Small nucleolar RNA from Suricata suricatta (meerkat), 204 nucleotides. Its record names the gene SNORA73. It matches the Rfam family "Small nucleolar RNA SNORA73 family". From Rfam's summary of the family: U17 (SNORA73A and SNORA73B) also known as E1 belongs to the H/ACA class of small nucleolar RNAs (snoRNAs). Vertebrate U17 is intron-encoded and ranges in length from 200-230 nucleotides, longer than most snoRNAs. It is one of the most abundant snoRNAs in human cells and is essential for the cleavage of pre-rRNA within the 5' external transcribed spacer (ETS). Lineage: Eukaryota; Metazoa; Chordata; Mammalia; Carnivora; Herpestidae. The record is from Ensembl.
GCAACGUGGGUGUCCCGGGAGGUCACCGUCCCCGAGCGCUGUCCAGAUGGCAGAGGGGAGCACAGGGGCUCAGCCCGUGAUGUGUAGCCCUUUCCCAUGAUGUUAAAGAUGAAGCGGGGUCUAGGGUCUCCACUUGCAUAUUCCGAUGGCUUCUCCAAGCCCUGGGGACAAUGGCUGAGGGGACAAACCAUUAAGGAAACAUCU